RNAcentral lists this ribosomal RNA (834 nucleotides) under uncultured bacterium. RNAcentral's name for it is "bacterial SSU rRNA". It matches the Rfam family "Bacterial small subunit ribosomal RNA", at positions 171 to 1017 of the family's 1533-position model. The record is from RNAcentral.
GCAUAACAUAUAUAUAGGACAUCCUGUGUAUAUCAAAGGAUUUAUUCGCUGAAAGAUGGGCUCGCGUCCGAUUAGAUAGUUGGUGAGGUAAUGGCUCACCAAGUCGACGAUCGGUAGCCGGACUGAGAGGUUGAACGGCCACAUUGGGACUGAGACACGGCCCAGACUCCUACGGGAGGCAGCAGUGGGGGAUAUUGCACAAUGGGCGAAAGCCUGAUGCAGCAACGCCGCGUGAGGGAAGAAGGUUUUCGGAUUGUAAACCUCUGUUUUUGGUGAAGAAAAAAAUGACGGUAGCCGAAGAGGAAGCCACGGCUAACUACGUGCCAGCAGCCGCGGUAAUACGUAGGUGGCAAGCGUUGUCCGGAAUUACUGGGUGUAAAGGGUGCGCAGGCGGGACAGUAAGUUGGAUGUGAAAUGCCGGGGCUCAACCCCGGACCUGCAUCCAAAACUGCAGUUCUUGAGUGAAGUAGAGGUAGGCGGAAUUCCGAGUGUAGCGGUGAAAUGCGUAGAUAUUCGGAGGAACACCAGUGGCGAAGGCGGCCUACUGGGCUUUAACUGACGCUGAGGCACGAAAGCAUGGGGAGCAAACAGGAUUAGAUACCCUGGUAGUCCAUGCCGUAAACGAUGAUUGCUAGGUGUGGGGGGACUGACCCCUUCCGUGCCGGAGUUAACACAAUAAGCAAUCCACCUGGGGAGUACGACCGCAAGGUUGAAACUCAAAGGAAUUGACGGGGGCCCGCACAAGCAGUGGAGUAUGUGGUUUAAUUCGAAGCAACGCGAAGAACCUUACCAGGUCUUGACAUCCUCUUGCAAGCGUCCUAGCCGACGCCCUCC